GGGAUAUUGCACAAUGGGCGCAAGCCUGAUGCAGCAACGCCGCGUGCAUGAUGAAGGCCUUCGGGUCGUAAAAUGCUUUUCUGACUGAAGAGGAAGGACAGUAAGUCAGGAAUAAGUGUCGGCUAACUACGUGCCAGCAGCCGCGGUAAAACGUAGGACGCAAGCGUUAUCCGGAGUUACUGGGCGUAAAGCGCGGGCAGGCGGUUCUUUAAGUCUGAUGUGAAAUUUCCUCGCUCAACGGGGAGCAGCCAUUGGAAACUGGGGAACUGGAGUCUGACAGAGGUAGGCGGAAUUCCGGGUGGAGUGGUGAAAUGCGUAGAGAUCCGGAGGAACACCAGAGGCGAAGGCGGCCUACUGGGUCAGAACUGACGCUGAGCCGCGAAAGCUAGGGGAGCGAA
This 398-nucleotide ribosomal RNA is filed under the name uncultured bacterium. Its description in RNAcentral is "bacterial SSU rRNA". It matches the Rfam family "Bacterial small subunit ribosomal RNA", at positions 358 to 772 of the family's 1533-position model. The record is from RNAcentral.